GACGAACGCUGGCGGCGUGCCUAACACAUGCAAGUCGAGCGGUCUCGCCUAUAGCAAAAGGCCUUCGGGCUUCGAGCAAAGGCGAGAUAGCGGCGGACGGGUGAGUAACGCGUGGCUUAUCUGUCCCAGGGGAGGGGGAUAACGUCUGGAAACGGGCGCUAAUACCCCAUAUGCCGGUGAGGUAAAAAGGAGAAAUCCGCCCGUGGGGUGAGGCCGCGUCCUAUCAGCUAGUUGGUGAGGUAACGGCCCACCAAGGCUAUGACGGGUAGCCGGCCUGAGAGGGCGGCUGGCCACACUGGGAUUGAGAUACGGCCCAGACUCCGUACGGGAGGCAGCAGGUGGGGAAUAGUUGGGCAAGUGGGGGAAACCCUGACCCAGCGACGCCGCGUGGAGGAAGGAGCCCUUCGGGGUGUAAACUCCUGUUGUAAGGGAAGAAGACAGUGACGGUACCUUACGAGGAAGCCCCGGCAAACUACGUG
This 479-nucleotide ribosomal RNA is filed under the name uncultured bacterium. RNAcentral's name for it is "bacterial SSU rRNA". It matches the Rfam family "Bacterial small subunit ribosomal RNA", at positions 28 to 507 of the family's 1533-position model. The record is from RNAcentral.